GGCCUCACUUUCUGCCUCUAAAAACAGAUUUUUAUUUUCCAAAGCUGUCUUCUUUCCUUCACUGACCAGGUAUCCCUCUGGCAUUCCAUACAACCCGGCAGGACAAGUUUGAUCUCUGCUGAUUUCAGCUGCUAACAUGUUUCAGUGGAAACAGACCACAUCCAAGCCACAGCCUUCAGAAUCAUGCUGGGACAGUUAGGUGACUGAGGAGAAAUUUUGACUCAUCGAAAAUAGUCUUCUUGACCCUUGUUCUCAUCUAAUUUAUAUUUUUCAUUUCAUAAAUGGAGUUGACUUGACUGAGUCAGCCCAGGAGCCUGCUAUUUUGGGGAGAAAAGUCUAUAAUAAACUCCAUGAAAUUAGUCCUCUGAGAGUGUGGGCAGAGAGGUGACAGUGACUGUGCAACCCUUGAGGCACAAGUGUUUCUGUGACGUGAUGUUGUCAUCCACAUGCAGGCCUGAGAAACCAAGGAGAGCCCUUGAAAGGGGGCAGGAAGAGGAGGAGAAAGAGAAGUGACUUUUACUGAGCACCUACUGCAUUCCAAGCACAGCACAAGGCACUGUGUAUACAGAGACACAUAAGAUGCUGUCUCAGUCCUGAAUAGACAUCAGCUAACAUGUAAGAAAUCCCACAAAAACACAGUAUCAAGAAGGAAGAGGAGAAGGUGGAGCAGAUAGGGAAGGAGGAAAAAUAAAGAAACAAAAGGAAUUACAGCAAAACAAGGGUAGUAAGAAGAUGAAAAUGCUCAGCACGGAUCUGAAGAAUGUACCGUAGGACCGGGACGGAGAGAAACAGGGUGAAGAAAGCAGCUGAAGAUCAGAGUUUGUUUUGAAAGUAACCAGCUUUUGUGCAUCACUGUCCACGCUUGUGGAAGACAGGCCCUGCGGCAUGCUGUAGAAUUUCAGCCUCCCUGAUGGGUGUUGGCCCUGCUGUCUGUCCCUGUUGGAGGAGCUGAGAUGCCGCCCGGCCCCUCGUCCCCCAGACACAGGCACUCACACACAGAAUGACUGCACAGCCCAGCUCCUCGCUGCCUUUAACUCAGUGAAUCUGCUGUCGCACUGUUUGUUGGCCUUGAGGCACAAUGUCCUUAUUUGGGAGCCUCAAAAUAACAGGCUAACAUUGCUCAAAGCAGCUUUGGGAAGAGGGCAGGUGUCUGAGAGGCUGAGAGGCCAACUGAGCAACUUUUUAGCUGAAACCACGGGCCACACCAGGAACAAACCACUGGACCAAAUUGAUUCAAGACACCUGCUCCGGACCCAGUUUCUUCUCCUCACCCCUAACUCUGCCCAGCACCUCCCACUUCCUCUCUGUUCCCCAUCCCAUCCCAGAUUUGUAUUUAAAUGUCUGCAUAAUGCAUGUGCUCUGCAUGUUUUGAAGUACUUUCUAUCAAGUCCCUCAUUUUAAAAAUGUUUCUUUUAAAUGAAGCUAUGCAUAACCUCUUUUUGAGGCUCUCUUUGGCUUUUUUUGCACAAUUUUAAAUUGACCAGGCCUACUUGCAAAAAUAAAGACAUUUUUUCUGCUCUUUGUUCUAAGUCU
RNAcentral lists this long non-coding RNA (1533 nucleotides) under Piliocolobus tephrosceles (Ugandan red Colobus). RNAcentral's name for it is "lncRNA (ENSPTEG00000014630.1)". The record is from RNAcentral. Lineage: Eukaryota; Metazoa; Chordata; Mammalia; Primates; Cercopithecidae.